AUUAGGCGUAGGGCGCACAAUGACUGAACCGUAUGCAGUGUCGGAACAUCCAUUAGCAUUCAUGGUAACAACCGCUACAGUAAAGUUACCUGACGAGUUAUAAAUGUGCGUAGGGUUUGAGCCGGUUGAAGAGAAGUUAUCUCCAAAGCUCCACAUAUAGGUUUGUCCGGGUGCAGAAUUAUUUCCGCU
This 189-nucleotide unclassified non-coding RNA is filed under the name uncultured fungus. RNAcentral's name for it is "sequence contains ITS1". The record is from RNAcentral. Lineage: Eukaryota; Fungi.